RNAcentral lists this ribosomal RNA (454 nucleotides) under uncultured bacterium. RNAcentral's name for it is "bacterial SSU rRNA". It matches the Rfam family "Bacterial small subunit ribosomal RNA", at positions 340 to 786 of the family's 1533-position model. The record is from RNAcentral.
UACGGAAGGCAGCAGUGGGGAAUAUUGCACAAUGGGCGCAAGCCUGAUGCAGCCAUGCCGCGUGUAUGAAAAAGGCCUUCGGGUUGUAAAGUACUUUUCAGUCGUGAGGAAGGUGUUAAGGUUAAUAACCUUAGCAAUUGACGUUAGCGACAGAAGAAGCACCGGCUAACUCCGUGCCAGCAGCCGCGGUAAUACGGAGGGUGCGAGCGUUAAUCGGAAUUACUGGGCGUAAAGGGCACGCAGGCGGUUAAUUAAGUUGGAUGUGAAAUCCCCGGGCUUAACCUGGGAAUGGCAUUCAAGACUGGUUAGCUAGAGUCUUGUAGAGGGGGUAGAAUUCCAUGUGUAGCGGUGAAAUGCGUAGAGAUGUGGAGGAAUACCGGUGGCGAAGGCGGCCCCUGGACAAAGACUGACGCUCAUGUGCGAAAGCUGGGGAGCAAAACAGGGAUUAGAUACC